CUUCUCUGUAUCCAAACUCUGUUUCCAGUC
This 30-nucleotide small RNA is filed under the name Arabidopsis thaliana (thale cress). RNAcentral describes it as "ATSL018880". Lineage: Eukaryota; Viridiplantae; Streptophyta; Magnoliopsida; Brassicales; Brassicaceae. The record is from RNAcentral.